RNAcentral lists this unclassified non-coding RNA (402 nucleotides) under soil metagenome. RNAcentral describes it as "partial contains 5.8S ribosomal RNA, internal transcribed spacer 2, and large subunit ribosomal RNA". The stretch from base 1 to 121 matches the Rfam family "5.8S ribosomal RNA", at positions 35 to 154 of the family's 154-position model. The record is from RNAcentral.
GAUGAAGAACGUAGCGAAAUGCGAUAAGUAAUGUGAAUUGCAGAAUUCAGUGAAUCAUCGAAUCUUUGAACGCACCUUGCGCCCUUUGGCUAUUCUGAAGGGCAUGCCUGUUUGAGUAUCGUGAACACCUCAACUCUCAUGGUCUGCCAUGAUGAGCUUGGACUUUGGGGGUCUUGCUGGCCUACUGUCAGCUCCUCUCAAAUGAAUCAGCUUACCAGUGUUUGGUGGCACCACAGGUGUGAUAACUAUCUACGCUUGUGGUUUUCUGCCAGGUAACCUCCAGUGAUGGAGGUUCGCUGGAGCUCACAAAUGUCUCUCCUCAGCGAGGACAGCUUUUUAAACGUUUGAUCUCAAAUCAGGUAGGACUACCCGCUGAACUUAAGCAUAUCAAUAAGCGGAGGA